GGUUAAGCGAAUAAGCGUACACGGUGGAUGCCUAGGCAAUCAGAGGCGAUGAAGGACGUGCUAAUCUGCGAUAAGCGUCGGUAAGGUGAUAUGAACCGUUAUACCCGACGAUUUCCGAAUGGGGAAACCCAAUAUCCAAUGGAUAUUAUCAUUAACUGAAUACAUAGGUUAAUGAAGCGAACCGGGAGAACUGAAACAUCUCAGUACCCCGAGGAAAAGAAAUCAACCGAGAUUCCCCUAGUAGCGGCGAGCGAACGGGGAACAGCCCAGAGUCUUAAUCAAUAGCAGCAUCAGGAGAACGGUCUGGAAAGUCCGGCAGUAAAGGGUGAUAGCCCCGUAUCCGAAGAUGCUGUUAUUGUGAACUCGACGAGUAGGGCGGGACACGUGUUAUCCUGUCUGAAUAUGGGGGGACCAUCCUCCAAGGCUAAAUACUCCUGAUUGACCGAUAGUGAACCAGUACCGUGAGGGAAAGGCGAAAAGAACCCCGGCGAGGGGAGUGAAAAAGAACCUGAAACCGUGUACGUACAAGCAGUAGGAGCCUCUUUAUGGGGUGACUGCGUACCUUUUGUAUAAUGGGUCAGCGACUUAUAUUCUGUAGCGAGGUUAACCGUAUAGGGGAGCCGUAGGGAAACCGAGUCUUAACUGGGCGAAUGAGUUGCAGGGUAUAGACCCGAAACCCGGUGAUCUAUCCAUGGGCAGGUUGAAGGUUGGGUAACACUAACUGGAGGACCGAACCGACUAAUGUUGAAAAAUUAGCGGAUGACUUGUGGAUGGGGGUGAAAGGCCAAUCAAACCGGGAGAUAGCUGGUUCUCCCCGAAAGCUAUUUAGGUAGCGCCUCGUGAACUCAUCUUCGGGGGUAGAGCACUGUUUCGACUAGGGGGUCAUCCCGACUUACCAACUCGAUGCAAACUGCGAAUACCGAAGAAUGUUAUCACGGGAGACACACGGCGGGUGCUAACGUCCGUCGUGAAGAGGGAAACAACCCAGACCGCCAGCUAAGGUCCCAAAGUCAUGGUUAAGUGGGAAACGAAGUGGGAAGGCUCAGACAGCCAGGAUGUUGGCUUAGAAGCAGCCAUCAUUUAAAGAAAGCGUAAUAGCUCACUGGUCGAGUCGGCCCGCGCGGAAGAUGUAACGGGGCUAAACCAUGCACCGAAGCUGCGGCAGCAACACUAAGUGUUGUUGGGUAGGGGAGCGUUCUGUAAGCCUGCGAAGGUGUACUGUGAGGUAUGCUGGAGGUAUCAGAAGUGCGAAUGCUGACAUAAGUAACGAUAAUGCGGGUGAAAAACCCGCACGCCGGAAGACCAAGGGUUCCUGUCCAACGUUAAUCGGGGCAGGGUGAGUCGACCCCUAAGGCGAGGCUGAAAAGCGUAGUCGAUGGGAAACGGGUUAAUAUUCCCGUACUGGUGGUAACUGCGAUGGGGGAACGGAGAAGGCUAGGUUGUCCGGGCGACGGUCGUCCCGGUUCAAGCAUGUAGGCAGAGUGAUUAGGCAAAUCCGGUCACUUAAUGCUGAGGUGUGAUGACGAACCACUAAGGUGGUGAAGCAAUUGAUGCCCUGCUUCCAGGAAAAGCCUCUAAGCUUCAGGUUACCAACAAUCGUACCCCAAACCGACACAGGUGGUCAGGUAGAGAAUACUCAGGCGCUUGAGAGAACUCGGGUGAAGGAACUAGGCAAAAUGGUGCCGUAACUUCGGGAGAAGGCACGCUGGCGGUAAGUGAAGUCCCUUGCGGACGGAGCCGAAGCCAGUCGAAGAUACCAGCUGGCUGCAACUGUUUAUUAAAAACACAGCACUGUGCAAACACGAAAGUGGACGUAUACGGUGUGACGCCUGCCCGGUGCUGGAAGGUUAAUUGAUGGGGUUAUCCUUAGGGAGAAGCUCUUGAUCGAAGCCCCAGUAAACGGCGGCCGUAACUAUAACGGUCCUAAGGUAGCGAAAUUCCUUGUCGGGUAAGUUCCGACCUGCACGAAUGGCGUAAUGAUGGCCAGGCUGUCUCCACCCGAGACUCAGUGAAAUUGAACUCGCUGUGAAGAUGCAGUGUACCCGCGGCAAGACGGAAAGACCCCGUGAACCUUUACUAUAGCUUGACACUGAACAUUGAGCCUUGAUGUGUAGGAUAGGUGGGAGACUAUGAAGUGUGGACGCCAGUCUGCAUGGAGUCAACCUUGAAAUACCACCCUUUAACGUUUGAUGUUCUAACCUAGGCCCAUAAUCUGGGUCGGGGACCGUGUCUGGUGGGUAGUUUGACUGGGGCGGUCUCCUCCUAAAGAGUAACGGAGGAGCACGAAGGUUGGCUAAGCAUGGUCGGACAUCAUGCGGUUAGUGCAAAGGCAUAAGCCAGCUUGACUGUGAGAGUGACGGCUCGAGCAGGUACGAAAGUAGGUCUUAGUGAUCCGGUGGUUCUGAAUGGAAGGGCCAUCGCUCAACGGAUAAAAGGUACUCCGGGGAUAACAGGCUGAUACCGCCCAAGAGUUCAUAUCGACGGCGGUGUUUGGCACCUCGAUGUCGGCUCAUCACAUCCUGGGGCUGAAGUAGGUCCCAAGGGUAUGGCUGUUCGCCAUUUAAAGUGGUACGCGAGCUGGGUUUAGAACGUCGUGAGACAGUUCGGUCCCUAUCUGCCGUGGGCGUUGGAAGAUUGAGAGGGGUUGCUCCUAGUACGAGAGGACCGGAGUGAACGCACCACUGGUGUUCGGGUUGUCAUGCCAAUGGCAUUGCCCGGUAGCUAAGUGCGGAAGAGAUAACCGCUGAAAGCAUCUAAGCGGGAAACUUGCCUCGAGAUGAGUCUUCCCUGUCACCUAGAGUGACCUAAAGGAACGUUUAAGACUAAGACGUUGAUAGGCUGGGUGUGUAAGCGUAGCGAUACGUUGAGCUAACCAGUACUAAUGAACCGUGAGGCUUAACCUG
RNAcentral lists this ribosomal RNA (2903 nucleotides) under Proteus terrae. Its description in RNAcentral is "23S ribosomal RNA". It matches the Rfam family "Bacterial large subunit ribosomal RNA". The record is from RNAcentral. Lineage: Bacteria; Pseudomonadati; Pseudomonadota; Gammaproteobacteria; Enterobacterales; Morganellaceae.